UUGAACAUGAGAGUUUGAUCCUGGCUCAGGAUGAACGCUGGCGGCGUGCUUAACACAUGCAAGUCGAACGAAGCACUUUCUUACGAUCCCUUCGGGGUGACGAGUUAGUGACUGAGUGGCGGA
This 123-nucleotide ribosomal RNA is filed under the name Lachnospiraceae bacterium A10. Its description in RNAcentral is "partial 16S rRNA. Bacterial SSU". It matches the Rfam family "Bacterial small subunit ribosomal RNA", at positions 1 to 102 of the family's 1533-position model. The record is from RNAcentral. Lineage: Bacteria; Bacillati; Bacillota; Clostridia; Lachnospirales; Lachnospiraceae.